CGCCAUACAAGCCUGAUUUUACAAUAGACCAAAACCAGAAAUCAGAAACCAGAUUUGAUUCACAAUGAAGAAUAACAGACCUUGAAGAUGAAAAGUUUCUUGAGAUUUUAGUGAGAGAAAAUACGAGAAUUAAGUCUGAAAGAAUGAAUGAAUUGACCUGGCCAGCCAAGGAACCACUAACCAAAUAAUUCUGACUUAUGCCACAGUCGUUAGAUCCAAACCAAUGGUCCAAAAUAGCCACAAAGAAAUAGAGAUUCGGGUCGCCAUUAAUCAGCCAACAAAUUUAUGCCAAGUGACAUGCCAUUCAAAAUCGUUUUUCCACUUCUAAAAAAUGGGUUUUAGAAAACACAUUUUACACUCUGAAACCAAGUUGAUAGAACCUCACUGCUGUUGCUCCUAGAGAUAUCUCUGUGAAGCCGAUGCUACUGUAUCUACUGUUGAAAACUGUGUUGCUGUAGUGACCUCGUGCUAUGAAUUAGAUGUUGCGAAAAUAGCAUUUGAUGUGUUGGCUAGUGAAUUUGUAUUAUAUAUAAUAUAUGUUGGAGUGAUAUUUAGUAUAGAUGGAUUGAUGCAAUUAUUUGUAAACAAAGAACAAUUGUACUGAAGACUGCAUUGAUAUUUCACAGAAUGUAAAUGACAAAUUCAAGCAAAUUGAGACCAGAUAUCUCC
RNAcentral lists this long non-coding RNA (669 nucleotides) under Olea europaea subsp. europaea. The record is from RNAcentral. Lineage: Eukaryota; Viridiplantae; Streptophyta; Magnoliopsida; Lamiales; Oleaceae.